This 250-nucleotide ribosomal RNA is filed under the name uncultured archaeon. RNAcentral's name for it is "partial 16S ribosomal RNA". It matches the Rfam family "Archaeal small subunit ribosomal RNA", at positions 474 to 723 of the family's 1478-position model. The record is from RNAcentral.
CACCAGCGCCACAAGUGGCAAUCACGUUUAUUGGGCCUAAAGCGUCCGUAGCAGGUUUCGUAAAUCUUUUGUGAAAUUGCCAGGCUCAAUCUGGCAGAGUGCAGGAGACACUGCGAAACUAGAGACCGGGAGGGGUUAGAAGUAUUCCUUAGGGAGCGGUAAAAUGCUAUAAUCUAAGGAGGACUACCUGUGGCGAAGGCGUCUAACUAGAACGGAUCUGACUGUGAGGGACGAAAGCUAGGGGAGCGAA